Molecule: transfer RNA, 69 nt
Filed under: Chrysochir aurea (Reeve's croaker)
Lineage: Eukaryota; Metazoa; Chordata; Actinopteri; Sciaenidae
Description: tRNA-Glu
Rfam family: tRNA
About the family: Transfer RNA (tRNA) molecules are approximately 80 nucleotides in length. Their secondary structure includes four short double-helical elements and three loops (D, anti-codon, and T loops). Further hydrogen bonds mediate the characteristic L-shaped molecular structure. tRNAs have two regions of fundamental functional importance: the anti-codon, which is responsible for specific mRNA codon recognition, and the 3' end, to which the tRNAs corresponding amino acid is attached (by aminoacyl-tRNA synthetases). tRNAs cope with the degeneracy of the genetic code in two manners: having more than one tRNA (with a specific anti-codon) for a particular amino acid; and 'wobble' base-pairing, i.e. permitting non-standard base-pairing at the 3rd anti-codon position.
Source: RNAcentral
GUUUCUCUAGUUGAAAGACAACAGUGGUUUUUCAAGCCACUAGUCCUGGUUAGAGUCCUGGGAGAAACC